AUGGCUUCACCUUUUGAACUUUUUUCAAAUGUUUCUUACAUUGUAAUUGGCAGUUGUUUGGAACUGUUUGAAGUGAAGCUAGAAAAUUGUUCCUCUCGCUAUCCAGUGUUUCGUUCUCAUGAUGCAUUUGGACGUUGGGGAACUACAUUU
Small nucleolar RNA from Camellia sinensis, 150 nucleotides. RefSeq annotates it as small nucleolar RNA snoR136. Lineage: Eukaryota; Viridiplantae; Streptophyta; Magnoliopsida; Ericales; Theaceae. The record is from RefSeq and is a predicted model, not a curated record.